GUGAGGGUUGCGGUAUGCUUCUCUUGGUCACUAUACCCAAGAUGUCGAUGGUGUGUCCGUUUCAAACCAGGAGUAGACAUUGCGGUAUUGGCGUAAGUCAGUACAACGAGGUCUCUAAGGAAGGGUGAACC
This 131-nucleotide non-coding RNA is filed under the name Pythium aphanidermatum DAOM BR444. The record is from RNAcentral. Lineage: Eukaryota; Oomycota; Peronosporomycetes; Pythiales; Pythiaceae.